UUUUUUUUUUUUCCUUUUGGCCAACUCACAGCAUAUGGAGUUCCCAGGCCAGGGAUCAAAUCCUAUCCGAAGAUGCAACCUACAUGGCAAUGCCAGAUCCUUUAACCCACUGUGCCGGUCUGGGAAUGGAACCUGCGUGCUGCUGCUGCAGAGACGCUGCCAAUCCUACUGUGCCACAGCGGGAACUCCAUGGCACCCUAUUGCUUUUUUUUUUUUGUCUUUUUGUCUUUCCUUGGGCCGCUCCCAUGGCAUGUGGAGGUUCCCAGACUAGAGGUCCAAUCAGAGCUGUAGCCGCCAGCCUACACCCCAGCUCACAGCAAUGCCAGAUCCUUAACCCACUGAGCAAGGUCAGGGAUUGAACCCACAACUUCAUGGUUCCUAGUUGGAUUCGUUAACCACUGAGCCAUGACGGGAACUCCAGUGGCACACUAUUCUUAAACAUUCAGUUCUCUUUCAGAGUAAGACCCUCAACGCCACAACUAAAACUAUGAAAGUAGCCAGUUUGAAAUGUCAGAAUAUUAUCACAUGGGAAAGCCCAAGAUUUUCAAGAUGCAGCUACUUUGAAGAAUUAUUUGUUUUUUACUUACUGAACAAUCCUCUAACGUGUAUCCCUGAGCCCUUCCCAGAGUCCAUCGUGACACUGAUCUGAGCUGAAGUUUCACAAGAGGAGUCACACACAGCAGGAAUAACUCCAUACCCUAUCAGUGGUUAUUUCAUUAUAUAUUAUCUUCCUUUUCUACGUGAAGUAUAUAUUAUUUUUACAAUCUGAAAAAAUAAAACUAUUUGCAUUAAAAAUAUCCUUUUCAUGGGCUAUAGUGACAUGCUAGGCAUGAUGUUACUUAUUUGUCUUUUUUUACUUUCCUGUAUUUCCCCGUUUGCUAAACUCAGCACAAAUUACUUUCAUAAUAAAGAAAGGAUGAGAAAUAUACAAACAAAAUGGUCCUGAAUUUUAAAGUUGAUCAAAAUUUGGAAGCUUCGGAAAAAAGAAUUUAAAUAAUAAUAGGAACUUGGGGGGCAUGUUGUUUUAACUAAUGAAAAUAUGAAACUGAGUCUGCAGUUGUCGUGAGACAAGGUCUGCUGUCUACCCGUGUGGAAAGGUCAAAAUCCAAAUGUGAUUUGAAGAGUCCAAGAAACUCCCACCACCCAAUGCGCCCGCGCCCCGCCGCAUCAUUAUCCAUCACCAUUGUAAUAAGCCCUUCAUUUGACACCACUCCAUAAUCACAUCUUGAUUUUCCUAAAAAGGUAGAAACAUUUUUAAAGCCAGAGAUUACGCAUUUUUGCAUCCUUAGCAAAAGCAUUGUUCAGCCUUUAUAAAGUCAUUGGACUUUGAGCGUGUCAUAUCAAAACAGUCUUAAAAGAUGAUACACAACCUUAAGUAACUGAAUGUACUAGAGGCAAAGCUUUAAACAAAGAUAAUUCAUUUUAUUAGAUUAAAAAACAUGCCCCAAAGGCUAUUUUGCCUCUAAGAACCAUAAUGUAUAAUAUAAUUCAACGUCUCUUCUAAAAUUUCCCUUAAUGCUGGUUUUUUAAAGAAGGGAAAAAAAAUAGAACCUUUUAUGCUUUGAGUUAUAAAAUGUCUUCCUAAAAAAGAAUUCAUUUUUUUUCUUAUUAACAUGAUCAUUUUUAAAACAUUGUCAGGCAAUCUAUUUCUUUUCUUUUAUGGUUUUUUGAACAAAGAGUCAGACAUUCAAUAUAUCAGGAGUUGCCAAUGUGGCGCAACAGGAUUGGUGGUGUAUUGGGACUGCUGGGUCGCAGGUUUGAUCCCUGGCCCAGCACAGCAGGUUAAGGAUCCAGCGUUGCCACAGCUGUGGCGCAGGUCACAACGGCAGCUUGGAUCUGAUCCCUGGCCCGGGAACUCCAUGUGCUGUGGGGCAGCCACAAGAGAAAAAAAAAAAAAGAAAGAAAGACAUUCGAUACAUCAUAGCACCUUCUAGUUUAUCUUUGCAAAAUCUAAUGUACGCGCUACAUUCCAAAAAAGUCCAGGCAAGUCAACUGGAUGGUCUUUUUCAGAUGAAUUUAGUUUCAUUUGCUACCACCCGCUGGGUAUUUAUAAUGAUAAUAAAAAUAUCCAUCUCCCAGACUGUGAUGGUGUCAUGUGAUUGAGAACCUCCUCGGAGCCUUAUGUAACUGACAUUCCAGCUAUUGCUGUGCCUGCAGGUAAUUCUCGCAGUUCUCCCUGGCUCCUAGUACCCAGCAUCCCUGGCCUUCCUCCCAAGCCCUAUUCACUUCCGUUCAUUUCCCCUCUUCUGUUGCCUCUCAGUUUAAGUGUCCCUUCUUCCAGGAAGCCCUCGCUGACCACUCAAGGAGACUGGCUUCCUCUCUUCCUCUCUUGCGCUUCACAGCAACCUGUGCCCUUCCUUGCCAGCAUGCCUCGCAGUUUGUCAUGAAAUGAUUUUCUUUUUUUUUUUUUUGUCUUGUUGUUGUUGUUGUUGUUGUUGUUGCUAUUUCUUGGGCCGCUCCUGCGGCAUAUGGAGGUGGCAGUGGAGGAUGAGGUGUGAGGAGAAAGGGUCGUGGGAAGAAAGACGGGCGACACCAGUUCACUGUGUAUGAGCUGAUUUGAUCACCUGCCCUUUGACCCAGAGGCACAGAGGGCUCUUCUCAAGGGCUGUAGGAUAAACAUCAAUUUCCUACAACAAUGUACAAGAUAGCAAGGGAAACGUCCUGACUAGUGACAAGCUCUUCUCACUCCAGACCUCACCAUACGAUCCCCAUGUUUUCUGAUAUUCUGCUAAAAGGAGGUGGGAAAGUGAAAGUCCCUGACAUUUAUGUCCUGGUACUUCCUUUACAUCUUGCUAGAAAUGUUUGUCAUUCCUCAACUGAUAGAAAUCCAUUGUAAAGUCAGGCCUAGAUGAAUGGAUUAAGAAGAUGUGGCAAUAUAUACACAAUGCACAAUGGAAUACUACUCAGCCAUAAAAAGGAUGAAAUAAUGCCAUUUGCAGCAACAUGGAUGCAAUGAGAGAUUCUCAUACUAAGUGGUAAGUCAGGGAAAGACAAACACCAUAUGUUAUCACGUACAGGUGGAAUCUAAAACAGGACACAAAUGAGCCUAAUACAAAUAGAAACAGACUCACAGAAAAAAAGAGCAGAAUUGUGGUUGCCAAGCAGGAAGGGAAGGAGUGGGAUGGAAGGGGAGUUUGGGGUUAGUAGGUGCAAAGUAGUCCAUGUAGAAUGAAUAAGCAGUGAGGUCCUACUGUACAGCACAGGGAACUAUAUUCAUUCUCAUGGGAUGAACCAUGACAGAAAAGAACAUAAAAAAAAGAAUACAUAUAUGUGUGUGUGUGUGUGUGUGGAUAUAUAUGUGUGUGUGUAUACAUACAACUGAGUCACUUUUCUGUAAAGCAGAAAUUGGUACAUUGUUUUUUUCUUUUCUUUUCUUUUUUUUUUUUUUUUUUUUGUUGCCCUGUGGCAGCAUAUGGAAUUUCCAGGCCAGGGAUCAGUUCCAAGCCUCAGCUGGACUGCAUGCCAGAUCCUUUAACCUAAUAAGCCAGGCCAGGGAUCCAACCUGCAUCCUGGCACGGCAGAAACAUCACCAAUUCCACUGUACCACAGCAGGAACUCCAGAAAUUGGCACAACACUGUAGAUCGACUCUAAUUUAAAAAUGACCAAAAAUAAAUAAAGGCCUAGAAAAUUACAAUUUGUUUAUGUGCAUGUCUCUCUGACACCAAUAGAUGCCAGAAGGUCUCUUUCUCAGUCCCUCUAAGAAGGCACAGUGAUGAGCUAGCUGCUGCUCUGUACUUUGGUCUCUGCCUC
Molecule: long non-coding RNA, 3751 nt
Filed under: Sus scrofa (pig)
Lineage: Eukaryota; Metazoa; Chordata; Mammalia; Artiodactyla; Suidae
Description: lncRNA (ENSSSCG00065003913.1)
Source: RNAcentral